This 499-nucleotide ribosomal RNA is filed under the name earthworm cast bacterium NC12. Its description in RNAcentral is "bacterial SSU rRNA". It matches the Rfam family "Bacterial small subunit ribosomal RNA", at positions 28 to 509 of the family's 1533-position model. The record is from RNAcentral.
GACGAACGCUGGCGGCAUGCCUAAUACAUGCAAGUCGAGCGGACUUGAUGAGAAGCUUGCUUCUCUGAUGGUUAGCGGCGGACGGGUGAGUAACACGUAGGCAACCUGCCCUCAAGCUUGGGACAACUACCGGAAACGGUAGCUAAUACCGAAUACUUGUUUUCUUCGCCUGAAGGGAACUGGAAAGACGGAGCAAUCUGUCACUUGAGGAUGGGCCUGCGGCGCAUUAGCUAGUUGGUGAGGUAACGGCUCACCAAGGCGACGAUGCGUACCCGACCUGAGAGGGUGAUCGGCCACACUGGGACUGAGACACGGCCAAACUUCUACGGGAGGCAGCAGUAGGGAAUCUUCCAAUGGGCGAAAGCCUUACCGAGCAAUGCCGCGUGAGUGAUGAAGGUUUUCGGAUCGUAAAGCUCUGUUGCCAGGGAAGAACGCUCAGGAGAGUAACUGCUCCUGAGGUGACGGUACCUGAGAAGAAAGCCCCGGCUAACUACGUGCC